This is a long non-coding RNA of Hypomesus transpacificus, 512 nucleotides long. RefSeq lists it as uncharacterized. The transcript is spliced from 3 exons. NCBI's taxonomy places the organism in Eukaryota, Metazoa, Chordata, Actinopteri, Osmeriformes, Osmeridae. The record is from RefSeq and is a predicted model, not a curated record.
GUUGCACUGGCACUAGCUCAUUGUGCUGGACCGUGGAGACCUAUUGUUCCUGUAAAGAUGUGAAGAUGAAAGAAUAAUUUUUAUGGAGAUUUGAAGGUCUGUAAGGUAAGUGUUUUUGGUAAGUAUAGUGCACAUUGUUCGUCCUCAAUGAGGGUGCAAUAAACUAAUGUGACAUUCUUUUCUUUCUAUUCCCCCAGGUGAAUCCUACAACAUUGAACGCAGCAAAAGAGACCCUCAAUCCCCAUAUUGCUAACCCCAUGCAAUGCAAAGUGCCGGUAUAGGACCGUCUCCUUGUUUCCUCUCCUGACCUGAUACCUGUGCUGUUUAAAACGGAUCUCCAUGGAGUAUUUGGAUUCUCCAAUGUACAGUUUCUGGCAACUCGAGCAUCUAAUUGCGUACACCACAUUAGAUCAACUUAAAAGAACCCAGGUCCUCCAGGGUCUCCUGGGCCUGUCCAAGGUUGUGCCUUAAUUGGCCACCCAAACGUCCAAGAGGACGAGAGAACGUCGUGA